GCAAAAAGGAAGAGGGACAACCUGAUCACAUUUUCGGGGUCGUUCUGGUUUACUUGUCCUUCACUGUUUCAUUUUUUAUUUUAUUUUUCUUGUGA
RNAcentral lists this non-coding RNA (95 nucleotides) under Gloeochaete wittrockiana. The record is from RNAcentral. Lineage: Eukaryota; Glaucocystophyceae; Gloeochaetales; Gloeochaetaceae.